Molecule: ribosomal RNA, 515 nt
Filed under: uncultured bacterium
Lineage: Bacteria
Description: partial 16S ribosomal RNA
Rfam family: Bacterial small subunit ribosomal RNA
Source: RNAcentral
GAUGAACGCUGGCGGCGUGCCUAAUACAUGCAAGUCGAGCGAAUGGAUUAAGAGCUUGCUCUUAUGAAGUUAGCGGCGGACGGGUGAGUAACACGUGAGUAACCUGCCCAUAAGACUGGGAUAACUCCGGGAAACCGGGGCUAAUACCGGAUAAUAUUUUGAACUGCAUGAUUCAAAAUUGAAAGGCGGCUUCGGCUGUCACUUAUGGAUGGACCCGCGUCGCAUUAGCUAGUUGGUGAGGUAACGGCUCACCAAGGCAACGAGGCGUAGCCGACCUGAGAGGGUGACCGGCCACACUGGGACUGAGACACGGCCCAGACUCCUACGGGAGGCAGCAGUAGGGAAUCUUCCGCAAUGGACGAAAGUCUGACGGAGCAACGCCGCGUGAGUGAUGAAGGCUUUCGGGUCGUAAAACUCUGUUGUUAGGGAAGAACAAGUGCUAGUUGAAUAAGCUGGCACCUUGGCGGUACCUAACCAGAAAGCCACGGCUAACUACGUGCCAGCCGCCGCCGUAA